Papaver somniferum (opium poppy) is the source of this 103-nucleotide small nuclear RNA. Lineage: Eukaryota; Viridiplantae; Streptophyta; Magnoliopsida; Ranunculales; Papaveraceae. The record is from RefSeq and is a predicted model, not a curated record.
GUCCCUUCCGGGACAUAUGAUAAAACUAUAACGAUACGAAAAAGAUUAGCAUAAUCGCAGCACAAGAAUGAUAUGUGCAAAUUGAGGUACAUCCACAAAACAG